RNAcentral lists this ribosomal RNA (450 nucleotides) under Triticum aestivum (bread wheat). RNAcentral describes it as "partial small subunit ribosomal RNA". Lineage: Eukaryota; Viridiplantae; Streptophyta; Magnoliopsida; Poales; Poaceae. The record is from RNAcentral.
AUGGUGGAGCAUGGAGGUUUUGUCAUCCAGGAGUACGGGCAGACGGUUGUCUGUGCAAGUGACAGCUGGAAGAUGGUGCAUCCCAUGCUGGGUUUGUGGUUGGUGGCUGAUAGUUCUGGUUUCCUCCUUCGACGUCGUUGUCGUGCGGGGGUGUCAGAUCUAGAGUUCGAUGGUGUGUCCAUGGACAUGUUGCCCCAGUCUGAUUCUUUCAACGAUAAUGCUUUUACUUCUGGCAAACUACUUUCGAGGUCCAUAAAGCUGUUGAUCAGCGAUGGAGUCGCGUCGAGCUCAAGUGAAGAGGUGAUCUGUUUUCUUUACCUUUGGUGGCCGCUUCGUGAUGUCGGAGGAGAGGAACAUGCGCUGGUAUUUUGCAUAGGAUUAUCCUACCUUUUCAAUCUUGUAAUGUCGGUGCUUACGUGUCUUGUAACCGGAUCUUUAUUUUAUAAAUGA